CCUACGGGUGGCAGCAGUGGGGAAUAUUGCACAAUGGGCGAAACUCUGAUCCAGCAACGCCGCGUGAAGGAUGAAGGGUUUCGGCUCGUAAACUUCUAUCCAAAGGGACGAAAGAAAUGACGGUACCUGAAUAAGAAGCCUCGGCUAACUACGUGCCAGCAGCCGCGGUAAUACGUAGGGGGCAAGCGUUAUCCGGAAUUACUGGGUGUAAAGGGUGAGUAGGCGGCUUGGUAAGUCAGAAGCGGAAGCCCUAGGCUUAACCUGAGAACUACUAUUAAAACUAUCGAACUUGAGUACAGGAGGGGAAACCGGAAUUCCUAGUGUAGCGGUGGAAUGCGUAGAUAUUAGGAGGAACACCAGUGGCGAAGGCGGGUUGCUAGACUGAAACUGACGCUGAGGCACGAAAGCGUGGGGAGCGAACAGGAUUAGAUACCCGAGUAGUC
This 443-nucleotide ribosomal RNA is filed under the name uncultured bacterium. RNAcentral describes it as "partial 16S ribosomal RNA". It matches the Rfam family "Bacterial small subunit ribosomal RNA", at positions 338 to 795 of the family's 1533-position model. The record is from RNAcentral.